GGAGAAGUGUCCGAGUGGCCGAAGGAGCACGCCUGGAAAGUGUGUAUACGUUGAUUCGUAUCGAGGGUUCGAAUCCCUCCUUCUCCGCCA
RNAcentral lists this transfer RNA (90 nucleotides) under Gammaproteobacteria bacterium. RNAcentral describes it as "tRNA-Ser". It matches the Rfam family "tRNA". From Rfam's summary of the family: Transfer RNA (tRNA) molecules are approximately 80 nucleotides in length. Their secondary structure includes four short double-helical elements and three loops (D, anti-codon, and T loops). Further hydrogen bonds mediate the characteristic L-shaped molecular structure. tRNAs have two regions of fundamental functional importance: the anti-codon, which is responsible for specific mRNA codon recognition, and the 3' end, to which the tRNAs corresponding amino acid is attached (by aminoacyl-tRNA synthetases). tRNAs cope with the degeneracy of the genetic code in two manners: having more than one tRNA (with a specific anti-codon) for a particular amino acid; and 'wobble' base-pairing, i.e. permitting non-standard base-pairing at the 3rd anti-codon position. The record is from RNAcentral. Lineage: Bacteria; Pseudomonadati; Pseudomonadota; Gammaproteobacteria.